UUUCGCAAUGCCCGAAAGGGUGACGAAGCGACGCCGCGUGUGGGAAGAAGGCCUUCGGGUUGUAAACCACUGUCGGGAGUUAGGAAAUGUAAGGGUGCUAAUAGUAUCCUUACUUGACUAAGGCUCCGGAGGAAGCCACGGCUAACUCUGUGCCAGCAGCCGCGGUAAUACAGAGGCGGCAAGCGUUGUUCGGAAUUAUUGGGCGUAAAGAGCACGUAGGCGGCCUUGUAAGUCAGUUGUGAAAGCCUUCUGCUUAACGGAAGGACAGCAGCUGAUACUGCAAGGCUAGAGUGCGGAAGGGGAGAGUGGAACUUCUGGUGGAGCGGUGAAAUGCGUAGAUAUCAGAAGGAACACCGGCGGCGAAGGCGACUCUCUGGUCCGUAACUGACGCUGAGUGUGCGAAAGCUAGGGGAGCAAACGGGAUUAGAUACCCCGGUAGUCCUAGCCGUAAACGAUGGGCACUAAGUAGAGGGGUUUUA
RNAcentral lists this ribosomal RNA (479 nucleotides) under uncultured bacterium. RNAcentral describes it as "bacterial SSU rRNA". It matches the Rfam family "Bacterial small subunit ribosomal RNA", at positions 364 to 833 of the family's 1533-position model. The record is from RNAcentral.